GGGCGGCUAGCUCAGUUGGUUAGAGUACUUGCUUGACAUGCAAGGGGUCAGCAGUUCAAAUCUGCUGCUGCCCACCA
RNAcentral lists this transfer RNA (77 nucleotides) under Chitinispirillales bacterium. RNAcentral's name for it is "tRNA-Val". It matches the Rfam family "tRNA". From Rfam's summary of the family: Transfer RNA (tRNA) molecules are approximately 80 nucleotides in length. Their secondary structure includes four short double-helical elements and three loops (D, anti-codon, and T loops). Lineage: Bacteria; Pseudomonadati; Fibrobacterota; Chitinispirillia; Chitinispirillales. The record is from RNAcentral.